Molecule: ribosomal RNA, 433 nt
Filed under: uncultured bacterium
Lineage: Bacteria
Description: partial 16S ribosomal RNA
Rfam family: Bacterial small subunit ribosomal RNA
Source: RNAcentral
AACGAACGCUGGCGGCAUGCCUAACACAUGCAAGUCGAACGAUGCCUUCGGGCAUAGUGGCGCACGGGUGCGUAACGCGUGGGAAUCUGCCUUUCGGUUCGGAAUAACUCAGGGAAACUUGAGCUAAUACCGGAUAACGACGCAAGACCAAAGAUUUAUCACCGAAAGAUGAGCCCGCGUAGGAUUAGCUAGUUGGUGAGGUAAAGGCUCACCAAGGCGACGAUCCUUAGCUGGUCUGAGAGGAUGAUCAGCCACACUGGGACUGAGACACGGCCCAGACUCCUACGGGAGGCAGCAGUGGGGAAUAUUGGACAAUGGGCGAAAGCCUGAUCCAGCAAUGCCGCGUGAGUGAUGAAGGCCUUAGGGUUGUAAAGCUCUUUUACCCGGGAAGAUAAUGACGGUACCGGGAGAAUAAGCCCCGGCUAACUCUGUG